Hibiscus syriacus is the source of this 489-nucleotide long non-coding RNA. RefSeq lists it as uncharacterized. The record is from RefSeq and is a predicted model, not a curated record. NCBI's taxonomy places the organism in Eukaryota, Viridiplantae, Streptophyta, Magnoliopsida, Malvales, Malvaceae. The transcript is spliced from 3 exons.
CCUCAUUUUCUGCAAAUGAAGCCUCCCCAAAUAUUGGCAUUCUCUCUUCUGGUGUUGUUCGUUUUCAUUCCUAGUACUGUUCAAGGAAAGGGUAGGAAACUUUUUACUGCAACUACUUGUACUUCUCCUUCGUCUACCACCACUUCAAAGAGAGAAGAGAUCGAUGGAUAAAACAAAGCUAACGACAACCCUACUUCAAACUCAAACCAGAGAAACUCCAUGACCAGUAUGCCGACAUUGUGGAAAUGGACUGUUCUCCUGCUAGGAGAAAACCUCCAAUUCACAACUAAGAGUAGGGGGACCAAAAAGAAGCAAAAGUUUUGCUGGAAAUCGGGAACAGUCUUCCAUGAAUGCUGCAGAUUUUUUAGGAUUAUGAAACGAUCUUGGUUUGCACAUAAUACUAUUUCUUUUAGGUUUUGUAAUCUUACAUACUAUAGAAUCAAAGUUUUGUAGAUUUUGGUUUUUUGAUAACAUAACUAGUUAACGAUU